This 93-nucleotide microRNA precursor is filed under the name Canis lupus familiaris (dog). RNAcentral's name for it is "mir-8799 microRNA precursor family". It matches the Rfam family "mir-8799 microRNA precursor family". The record is from Rfam by way of RNAcentral. Lineage: Eukaryota; Metazoa; Chordata; Mammalia; Carnivora; Canidae.
GGGGGGAGCAUAGGAUCCUGGGUUGUGUUCCCCGGUGCCCUGGGUUCCGGGGCCUGUGCCACUGGAAUUGCUCCCAAGGCUGCACAGCCCCCU